RNAcentral lists this ribosomal RNA (450 nucleotides) under uncultured bacterium. RNAcentral describes it as "partial 16S ribosomal RNA". It matches the Rfam family "Bacterial small subunit ribosomal RNA", at positions 354 to 796 of the family's 1533-position model. The record is from RNAcentral.
GUGGGGAAUAUUGGACAAUGGGCGAAAGCCUGAUCCAGCCAUGCCGCGUGUGUGAAGAAGGUCUUCGGAUUGUAAAGCACUUUAAGUUGGGAGGAAGGGCAGUAAGUUAAUACCUUGCUGUUUUGACGUUACCGACAGAAUAAGCACCGGCUAACUUCGUGCCAGCAGCCGCGGUAAUACGAAGGGUGCAAGCGUUAAUCGGAAUUACUGGGCUUAAAGCGCGCGUAGGUGGUUCAGCAAGUUGGAGGUGAAAUCCCCGGGCUCAACCUGGGAACUGCCUCAAAAACUACUGAGCUAGAGUACGGUAGAGGGUAGUGGAAUUUCCUGUGUAGCGGUGAAAUGCGUAGAUAUAGGAAGGAACACCAGUGGCGAAGGCGACUACCUGGACUGAUACUGACACUGAGGUGCGAAAGCGUGGGGAGCAAACAGGAUUAGAAACCCGAGUAGUCC